CAGUCGCCGCGGUAAUACGUAGGUCCCGAGCGUUGUCCGGAUUUAUUGAGCGUAAAGCGAGCGCAGGCGGUUAGAUAAGUCUGAAGUUAAAGGCUGUGGCUUAACCAUAGUACGCUUUGGAAACUGUUUAACUUGAGUGCAAGAGGGGAGAGUGGAAUUCCAUGUGUAGCGGUGAAAUGCGUAGAUAUAUGGAGGAACACCGGUGGCGAAAGCGGCUCUCUGACUUGUAACUGACGCUGAGGCCCGAAAGCGUGGGGAGCAAACAGGAUUAGAUACCCCUGUAGUCCCUGUCUCUUAUACA
Molecule: ribosomal RNA, 301 nt
Filed under: uncultured bacterium
Lineage: Bacteria
Description: partial 16S ribosomal RNA
Rfam family: Bacterial small subunit ribosomal RNA
Source: RNAcentral